RNAcentral lists this ribosomal RNA (400 nucleotides) under uncultured bacterium. RNAcentral describes it as "bacterial SSU rRNA". It matches the Rfam family "Bacterial small subunit ribosomal RNA", at positions 356 to 773 of the family's 1533-position model. The record is from RNAcentral.
GGGGAAUAUUGCACAAUGGAGGAAACUCUGAUGCAGCAACGCCGCGUGAGUGAUGAAGGUCUUCGGAUUGUAAAGCUCUGUCUUCUGGGACGAUAAUGACGGUACCAGAGGAGGAAGCCACGGCUAACUACGUGCCAGCAGCCGCGGUAAUACGUAGGUGGCAAGCGUUGUCCGGAUUUACUGGGCGUAAAGGAUGUGUAGGCGGAUAUUUAAGUGAGAUGUGAAAUCCCCGGGCUUAACCUGGGGGGUGCAUUUCAAACUGGUUGUCUAGAGUACAGGAGAGGAAAGUGGAAUUUCUAGUGUAGCGGUGAAAUGCGUAGAUAUUAGGAAGAACACCAGUGGCGAAGGCGGCUUUCUGGACUGUUACAGACGCUGAGGCAUGAAAGCAUGGGUAGCGAAC